UGGGGGAUAACGUCCGGAAACGGGCGCUAAUACCGCAUACGUCCUACGGGAGAAAGCAGGGGACCUUCGGGCCUUGCGCUAUCAGAUGAGCCUAGGUCGGAUUAGCUUGUUGGUGAGGUAAUGGCUCACCAAGGCUGCGAUCCGUAACUGGUCUGAGAGGAUGAUCAGUCACACUGGAACUGAGACACGGUCCAGACUCCUACGGGAGGCAGCAGUGGGGAAUAUUGGACAAUGGGCGAAAGCCUGAUCCAGCCAUGCCGCGUGUGUGAAGAAGGUCUUCGGAUUGUAAAGCACUUUAAGUUGGGAGGAAGGGUUGUAGAUUAAUACUCUGCAAUUUUGACGUUACCAACAGAAUAAGCACCGGCUAACUUCGUGCCAGCAGCCGCGGUAAUACGAAGGGUGCAAGCGUUAAUCGGAAUUACUGGGCGUAAAGCGCGCGUAGGUGGUUUGUCAAGUUGGAAGUGAAAGCCCCGGGCUCAACCUGGGAACUGCUUUCAAAACUGGCAAGCUAGAGUAUGGCAGAGGGUGGUGGAAUUUCCUGUGUAGCGGUGAAAUGCGUAGAUAUAGGAAGGAACAUCAGUGGCGAAGGCGACCACC
RNAcentral lists this ribosomal RNA (597 nucleotides) under Pseudomonas sp. Its description in RNAcentral is "bacterial SSU rRNA". It matches the Rfam family "Bacterial small subunit ribosomal RNA", at positions 137 to 729 of the family's 1533-position model. Lineage: Bacteria; Pseudomonadati; Pseudomonadota; Gammaproteobacteria; Pseudomonadales; Pseudomonadaceae. The record is from RNAcentral. RNAcentral also lists the same sequence under 1 other name.